CCUACGGGGGGCUGCAGUGGGGAAUAUUGGACAAUGGGGGAAACCCUGAUCCAGCAAUGCCGCGUGUGUGAAGAAGGCCUGCGGGUUGUAAAGCACUUUCGGUUGGGAAGAAAAGUUUGGCGCCAAUACCGCCGAACCUUGACGUUACUGACAGAAGAAGCACCGGCUAACUCUGUGCCAGCAGCCGCGGUAAUACAGAGGGUGCACACGUUGAUCGGAAUCACUGUAGGUGAAGCUGCCAGAGGUGUUCGAAAUCCCCGGGCUUAACCUGGGAAAUGCAUUCGAUACUACAUGGCUAGAGUAUGGUAGAGGGAAGUGGAAUUUCCGGUGUAGCGGUGAAAUGCGUAGAUAUCGGAAGGAACACCAAUGGCGAAGGCAGCUGCCUGGACUAAUACUGACACUGAGGCACGAAAGCGUGGGUAGCAAACAGGAUUAGAUACCCUAGUAGUC
RNAcentral lists this ribosomal RNA (450 nucleotides) under uncultured bacterium. RNAcentral describes it as "partial 16S ribosomal RNA". It matches the Rfam family "Bacterial small subunit ribosomal RNA", at positions 338 to 795 of the family's 1533-position model. The record is from RNAcentral.